GAAAAAAAAACCUGCAUUUAUAGAAAUUCAAUUUGGAAGUUGGAACCAAACUAUUACUUCUUUCAAAAGUCUAGUAUGUUUCUACCAUACAAAUAUAGAAGAUACAGAUUUCAAAAGAACACAUUCACAAAUCCCUUGCACCGAAGGGAUGUAAUAACCUGUUUUGGCAGCAUGUUUAGUGGGUUUACUGUUGAUAAAAGAAAAGUGGAGCAUGUUUCCGUGUUUUGAGCAACAAAGGGAAAAGCUGGGUGCUAUAGUGAGGAGCGUCGGUGGAAGGAACUGCAGUUCUCACUCUCUCUCUCUCUCGUCCGAAACCAUCCAAGAAACAGAGCAAUUAUUUUCCAAGCUUGUGAGGAGCGUCGGUGGAAGGAACUGCAGUUCUCACUCUCUCUCUCUCUCGUCCGAAACCAUCCAAGAAACAGAGCAAUUAUUCUCCAAGCUUGUGAGGAGCGUCGGUGGAAGGAACUGCAGUUCUCGCUCCAUAGGCCAUCGAUCGACCCCAGACCACGUUCCACGCCUUCACCUAUACCUUGCGCAGCUGCUAGAGGCAGCCUUGAACCGCGACACGGCCACCAGCGGCGGCGGGAAGCUCCGCCCGGUUUGAGCUCGUUUUGGUUCCAAGCUUGAUAUCUCAAGCUACCGGUCACCAAUCCUCACCAAACUUCAUCCUCGAGCUCACCUCAACCUCCUGAAACUCCCAGAAGUGUCCUUUCACGGAGGCGCUGCGCGUGGUGGCAGCUGGAAGCCAGCCCCGAUCAAAAUCGAAAAACUGAGCAAUCGAUCCGGAUAUCUCGAGCUACAGACCAUCAUUUCUUGUGAUUCUUGAGCUGGUGAACUCAGAUUGAAGUUCUGAACAACUUUCAUGAAGGGAUCGAAGCGAUUUGUUGAAGUUUUUACGUCGGAACUCAAGCUCGCCGGAUUCUGGAAAUUUUCCGGCCACCGAAGCUUUCGAUCAAGAUAUCUCGAGCUGUAGAGCUUCGUUUUGAGUGAUUCUUGAACCCGUGAGUUCGAAUUGAUGUUAUUAACAACUCUCCAGAAGGGAUUGAGGCCUGAAAUUGAAGUUUUUACGUCGAAAUCAUAGCUCGCCGGUUCUGCAAAUUCUCGCCGGAUUCUGGAAAUUUUCCGGCCAACCCGACUGGUUCGAGGUGACUGACGGUAUGAGUUGGUGGACGAUUGUGAAUCGUAUUUUGAACUGCUUAGAAGACGCAGCUGGAUAAGAGCGGAAAAUCCUACAGGUCAGGAGAAUCGAGAAGGUGAUCAGGCUGCUUAGAGUAGUGGUAUUUGAGUUACAGCUUUAUUGUGAGGUUGUUAUGCUCAUUUGAGCUUACAUUUAAAUUUGGAGAGAGUGUGUUGUAAUAUUAAACUCUUGAGGAUUUGGUUUAUGUAUUAGUGAGUGAGGCGAGGUGUGUUUAUUUCUGAGAAAAAAAUUC
This is a long non-coding RNA of Rosa chinensis, 1430 nucleotides long. RefSeq lists it as uncharacterized. The record is from RefSeq and is a predicted model, not a curated record. Lineage: Eukaryota; Viridiplantae; Streptophyta; Magnoliopsida; Rosales; Rosaceae. The transcript has 3 exons.